Molecule: long non-coding RNA, 4915 nt
Filed under: Taeniopygia guttata (zebra finch)
Lineage: Eukaryota; Metazoa; Chordata; Aves; Passeriformes; Estrildidae
Description: lncRNA (ENSTGUG00000027245.1)
Source: RNAcentral
AGGAGGGAGAGAGAGAGAGGGAAAUGUCACCCGGAGCCCGGGCCCGCGGGGGAGAGGUGGCGCGUUAGAGAUGUGUGUGGGAGAGAGGGAGCGAGAGAGAGAGAGAGAGAGAGAGGGGGAGCGAGACCUCCGCUGGCCCCGCGAACUUGUCAAGCAGAAGAGUGACCAAGUGGUCUUCUCCACAGCAGCCAUGAACUUCAACCUUGAACUGAAGAAGACUCAUCAAAUGCCUUAGGAAAGACAGUAUGGAGCUGGAAGAGAAGCAGGGAUCUUCAUGAAGGGCAGUCAGUUAUAGUUAUGGUGUGUGGAGGAACAGGUCCUGUUCUUGCUGUUGUUACUCCCACAUAGGCAGACUCUGUAAUUGAUUAUGUGUGGGUAGGGCCCUAUUGAAAUUCAGGAGAUUCUGCAGUAGUGUGGGGUUCUUAUUGUGAAAGUUCAGUUGCAAGAUCAGGACCCUACUGUGACUACUUACUGUGCGUUCUGUCACUGUCUCAUUGAUUGUACUGGAACCUGCCUAUUGGGAUAAUUACCAAAUACUAUAUUCCUCAAAACUUCUUAAUGGCACUGAGGCUUUGUGGAUAGUUGGUCACAUGAUGAGAAAAUUCAGCUGUGAUUCACCAUGGGACCCUGAAGUUCUUCCUUACUGCAAUUAGGUUUACUUUGCCUGUAGUGAUGAACUACUGUGAUAGUUUGAUUUUUAUGAUUUGUAUGAAGCAUGAAGCUUUCAAAGCCAUGUGUCAAAGACACUCGAGCCAGUGAAGGCAGUGGGCGUGCAGGCAGCUACGGCAGCCCGGAGAUCUCCCCUCUCUCCCGCUCUCCUCUGAACGCUGCCGCUAACACGCUGGCAGUGCUGGUGAUCCGGCUCCAGCUGCUGCUGCUACUGCUGGUCAAGUGAGUGGCUCAGCAAUGAUGUAUGACACUACAAAAACUGUUGUGUUUUCCUUCUCGAAAGAUCGCAGACUACUCAUUUUCUCCGGGGUUCAUGGAGGUGGCAAGGAUGGACUCCCAAGGCAUGGCUGCAAUGGUUGUUUGAAAUAAGAAACAGAUACCCUUGGUGUCAUGCAUCUCUGAUCACUGGGAAUCGGAGCUUGAAGGAAGGUGGAAGAAAACUCCUACAGAGAGUAUGAGGAAUCGUUUGUCUUGUAAGGGGGGUAUAAUGGCAUUUUUAAAGCUUUUACCAAAUAUCAGGACAUGUGAUAGGAGUUUAUGGACUGGGAAUUACAUGAAAGAUUGUGAAAUGGGGAAGAAUUCACAUUAUGGAAAGUGCUGGAGAACUACAACCUAAGCACUCUGAAAUUUGUGACCAGGCCCACAGAAUGUCUUCAUAUGAUGGAACUAUCUCAGAUGACUGUUGGUUAAAAAUAUAAUUUGCAAGCCCCUGCACCCUUCCCCAGAUAGACUGGGAAAAUACAUUCCUUUUAUUAAUAUUACUUCAGGAGACUGGACGGUAUUCUGAGCAGUGAAACAUACAGUUUAUGUCUUGCUACAGAAUUCAGAUUAAAGAAAAAAAAGGCAGUGCUAAUUUGUACCUGGGAGUUGGUAUCUGUUUUAAAAAAUGUUGUUCUAAAGAUAAUUUUUUUUACAUUUUUAUAUGUAUUAAGUAACACAUCCAUAUGAUAAAACAUGAAGUGUAUAAUUAAAACAAUGUAUAUAAUUAUAUAAUUAUGUAAAUACUACCAAAAUCAUAUGUGUAAGUAUUAAAUAAACUGUUUCAUUUCUAGAGGUUACAGAAAACACUUUAGGAUGUUAUACAGUCUUUCCACCUCUUCCCCCAAUAGUUUUUAAUAUAAUUGCAGUUUUAGAGCUAAUCCAUAUAUUAACAUUUUAACAUUUGCAGUUGUGUUAAAUUUUACUAAGGAACAAUUUAGUUUGGGGAAACCGUUGAAUCUGUGGUUUGUGUUGUUUGAACAAGAAGUCCCUGAGUAUUUUUCCCAAAUGCCACUAUUUUUUCUACACUGGCAGCUGUAUAUUUGUGGUCACCUGAUGGCAAUGCAUGCAAAGACCCUGUGCAGCAGCAGUGCCUCUCCCAGGAAAUACCAGGAGGGAAACUGUAAGUAACCAAAGCACACAGAAUUAGCUCUUCUUGGUGGCGGUCUCAUGUAGGCAGCACUUGAAUGACACUUUAUAUUUCUGGAUAAGGUGAAGGUAAGAGAUAGAAACCAUUUUCUUCUGUUCCAUGGACUGGGCUGGAAAGAACAACUCUUCUGAGACACAGCUUUACACAGAACAUGAGCAGAGUGGUGUCAUCAGCAAUUCUGAAAAUGUGUUUACAAUGGCUGGGGAAAAUAUUUAGUCAGCAUUUAAAUAUCUUAGCUCAUACACAAAUUUUAGAUGUCUACUGCACUUAACAGUUCCAAUAACUGGUUUCAUUAAGGUUUUUAGUGAUACAAAUUAAUAACAAAAGUCAGUUAAUACAGAGUGCAGUUAUGAGACCAAACCACAUGUGUUUUAAAUUUAAGGAGUUAAAUGUUAGCAUCUCCCUAUAGAGAAAGGUUAUUUGGGUGGUGGUAUACUGACAUUAUCACCACCCACAGAGAAGGGGACCUCUUGAUCAUACUGGUUAAGCAGAAAUUAAAAAAAGGAAAACUGUAGGUCUAGAGGGUUUGCUUGGUGUAAGUGAAUCACACAGGAAAAAUGCUGAUACCCAGGGUUGUUGUAGUGACUUUCUUUGAUGGCUAGAAAGAGAAAUAAGCACAGGAUAUUUUUGUCAAGUUAGAGGGUUUAGAUUGCUUCUUGCUAGGUAAAAUUUAUCUUAGUUAUUAAUAUAGUGGAAAGUUAAAUGAUGAUAAUGGAAAUAUGAUAAUAAGUGCUGUUGGAAAAUGGACAGAAAUUAUUUUCUUUGUCCAUUUAAAUAUUCCAAUGUGUUAAUAGUUGGGCUGAAGGGCUGCUAAGAACAUGAAUGUGGAAAAUAAAGGAAAGCUUCUGUUCAUGAAGAUGUUUCUGGACACUGCCAUACUGUUUCUGGCAAAUCAUAUCUGAUAAGAUACAGGUUAAAAAGUAUCAUUCAUUUAGCAGAAAAUAGUGCUAUCUGUAUGUCUGGAUUUCUGUUUGAGAAAGCCUUUAUUAUAAUCUUACUGGACCUAGCUAGAAAAAAAAAUCUAAUAAUAAUAAUAAGUUACUAAUUUGCCACUACUUAAUGUUAAUUCAAUCUGACAACUCUGCCUAUAAGCUUCUUCUAUUAUUCCUGGAAGAAAAUGACAUAAAAUUGGAUGGGUUUGGGUAGUUUCAUACAGAAUGGAACUGCACAGAAAAGCCAGGUAUCAGCAUCAUGCAUAUAGGGAGAUCUUGUCUCUGACCCUCAGCUAGUCAGUUUUGAAAUUUUCUAUGUGAGAUACAGUUUCAACAUGAAAAGUCAAAAUAUAGUGGUUUACAAUCACUUUUGCUUUGUUUGAAGCUAAAACUCAAAACAAAACUCCUGGAGUAUAGAACUGUAUGAAGGAAAAUACAAGAAAGUUAACACAUAAACUCUGCAAACUGAGCAAGCUAGUUUCACUCAGCUCUUGAAAUAACCCCUUUCUGCAAGUUCACUUUUCAAUUGCACAUAUGAGAGAUGUCAAAAAUGAGUUGGUUUCACAACCCCAUGGCACAGAUAAACAGUACAGCUUUAAAGCUUCACCUUCUGUUCGAACAAGGUCUUGCUCUCAUUCUCUGUCUUGGCUUAUACCUUUGACAUCUGCCAGGAGAUGAAAUUUUCUCAGUUCUAGGCUAGUUGCAUUGAGCUUUUGUUCGUCUGUAGAACACGAAAUUUGUGGUAAGACCUAAAUUCAGCCUGUUUUUCACAGUUGUAUCCAGCACUGAGAACUCAUUUCCCAAAUCUUUAUCAAUGCUCUAAAUGGCUCCUAGUCCUAAAAUGAGAGUAGACACUUCACCACUUGGAGGUCAUGCAAGCAUUCAUGUGCUUUAAGUUAGAAACCUGGUAUUUCAGGGGUACUGAACACCUGCUGCUCUUCCUAACUUGUAUAGGAGCUGCAGGAACUCAUGCCCUUGUGAAGAUCAUACUCCUCAUCUCAAGGGGUCUGCUUUUAUUCACAGUGGGGCAGUGAGCAUUCCUCUGCUCUGUUAUCGGCUUUUGUAAAGUUUUAGUGAAGCACAACAAACUGAUGCUGCACUGAUAUUGAAGUGGUUUCAGCUGGUUGGUGCAGUGCUCUGUUUUGGAUUCAGUAUGAGAAUUAUGUUGAUAACAUAGUGAUGUUUUAGUUGUUGCUAAGUAGUGCUUACUCUGAAGGACUUUCACUGUGUCAUGCUCUGCCAGUGAGCAAGUGCACAAGAAUCUCGAGGGAGCAUGUCCAGGACUGUUGAUCUGAAGUAGCCAAAGGUAUAUUCCAUACCACAGAAUGUCAUGCCCAGGAUAUAAAACUGCUGCAGUUUGGUCAGGAGCUGCUAUCAGUUCUUGGGGGUGGGCUGAGCAGUGUGUGGUGAACAAAUAUAUUGAGCAUCACUUGUUUCUGUUGCGUUUUAUUUGCACACCCCCUAGAUCCUCAAUGUAUUUUCAUUGCAAUUGUUAUUAUCUUAAUAUUUUCUUUUGUUUCAAUCAUUGCUCAUCUCAACACAAGAGGUUUACUUUUUCUUCUAAUUCCCAUCAGUGCAGGUGGGGAAGUGAGCAAGUGGCUGUGUGGUACUUGAUUGCCAUCUGGGGUUAAACUGUGAGAGACACAGACACUUUCAACAGAGCAUUGCUGAGUACUUAUGAGUUCAGACAGGUCAGAACUCCUUUGUUUGCUGGGCAGCUGGUCCAUUUUCUCUCCCCAAAAAUACUGAGGGACUGAUCUGAGUUUUCUAAAUUAUCACUGAUGGAGAAACAAGACCUCAGCAGCAGUGGGGCUAAGGUAGGAGGCUUCUAGAUGUAACUCUCACGCGUCGGGAACUUAGUUGAGAAGAACUGGAGUGAUGCUCAGGAAAAUAAAAAUCAGUGAUC